GAUGAACGCUGGCGGCGUGCCUAAUACAUGCAAGUCGAGCGAACCGACCAGGAGCUUGCUCCUCUGACGUUAUCGGCGGACGGGUGCGUCACACGUGUAUAACCUACCUCUACGACUGGGAUACCUUCGGGAAACCAGAGCUUAUACCGGAUAAUAUAUUGAACCGCAUUGUUCCCUAGUUAAAGACGGUUUUUCUUAUACUUAUAGAUUGCUACGCGCAGGAUUCGCUAGUUGGUAAGGUGAAGGCUUACCAACGCUACGAUGCUGAGCCGACCUAAAGGCGUGAUCCGCCACACUGGAUGAGAGACACGGUCCAGACUCUGACGGUAGGCAGCAGUAGAGAAUCUUACGCAAUGCAGGAAAGCCGGACGGUGCAAAGUGGGGUAAGGGAUGAAGGUGUUCUGAUGGGAAAACUAUGUAAGUAGUGGAGUACAAAUGUGUAAUUAACUAUGCACGUAUUGACGGUACCGAAUCAAAAAGCCACGGCUAACUACGUG
This 497-nucleotide ribosomal RNA is filed under the name uncultured bacterium. Its description in RNAcentral is "partial 16S ribosomal RNA". It matches the Rfam family "Bacterial small subunit ribosomal RNA", at positions 28 to 507 of the family's 1533-position model. The record is from RNAcentral.